RNAcentral lists this ribosomal RNA (253 nucleotides) under uncultured bacterium. RNAcentral's name for it is "partial 16S ribosomal RNA". It matches the Rfam family "Bacterial small subunit ribosomal RNA", at positions 524 to 776 of the family's 1533-position model. The record is from RNAcentral.
UACGUAGGUGGCAAGCGUUGUCCGGAUUUACUGGGCGUAAAGGGUGCGUAGGCGGCUUGGUAAGUUGGGUGUGAAAGCCCCGGGCUCAGCCCGGGAAGGGCACUCGAAACUGCCGAGCUGGAGUGCCGGAGGGGAGAGUGGAAUUCCUGGUGUAGCGGUGAAAUGCGUAGAUAUCAGGAGGAAUACCGGUGGCGAAAGCGACUCUCUGGACGGCAACUGACGCUGAGGCACGAAAGCGUGGGGAGCAAACAGG